CGCGUAGGCGGGGAUACAAGUCAGGUGUGAAAUCUAUGGGCUUAACCCAUAAACUGCACUUGAAACUGUAUCUCUUGAGUGUCGGAGAGGUAGACGGAAUUCCUAGUGUAGCGGUGAAAUGCGUAGAUAUUAGGAGGAACACCGGUGGCGAAGGCGGUCUACUGGACGAUAACUGACGCUGAGGCGCGAAAGCGUGGGGAGCAAACA
RNAcentral lists this ribosomal RNA (207 nucleotides) under uncultured bacterium. RNAcentral describes it as "partial 16S ribosomal RNA". It matches the Rfam family "Bacterial small subunit ribosomal RNA", at positions 568 to 774 of the family's 1533-position model. The record is from RNAcentral.